Molecule: ribosomal RNA, 90 nt
Filed under: Acinetobacter bereziniae
Lineage: Bacteria; Pseudomonadati; Pseudomonadota; Gammaproteobacteria; Moraxellales; Moraxellaceae
Description: partial 23S ribosomal RNA
Rfam family: Bacterial large subunit ribosomal RNA
Source: RNAcentral
CGUUGAAGACUACGACGUUGAUAGGUUGGAUGUGGAAGUGCGGUGACGCAUGAAGCUGACCAAUACUAAUUGCUCGUGAGGCUUGACUAU